Phyllopteryx taeniolatus (common seadragon) is the source of this 4084-nucleotide long non-coding RNA. RefSeq lists it as uncharacterized. The record is from RefSeq and is a predicted model, not a curated record. NCBI's taxonomy places the organism in Eukaryota, Metazoa, Chordata, Actinopteri, Syngnathiformes, Syngnathidae. The transcript is spliced from 2 exons.
GGGAGUCAGGCUACAUGAAAACCAAGCCUUUUACAAAUUCUGCCUCUGUCUUCUCGAGGAGCUUAACAGUCCAAGACCGCCGAAGAGAAGAGAACACCGGGAAAGAAAGAACUUCUGCUUUCGCACCAGGAAGAUACCUGAUGCGCUUUUCUUUCGGGUUCGAGCUCUUCCUCUGAUAUCAUGCAGGCUACGGCUACCUGAGAGGAGGGACAUCUUACUCCUCCUAACCGCCACGCCAUUGUCCUUCAGCGAGAGCAGGAAGGAAGAGGACUAGCCAACGAGGCGUCAAGAGCCCCGACACAAUGAUGCCUCUUGUACUGGGUUUCUGGCUCGGUGACCACACCUGGGAAAAGCGGGGUAAAUUCACGAAUUUCUUUGUCUUCAUUGUCCGUUUCUUAAGACGCAAGCUGCGGUCAGAACCUGUUGCUCAGCCACGCCGUUGUUCAAACUUUUUGGACAUUUGUUAGUUGGCUAAGAUCAGGAAACGCGUUAGCGAUUGUGCGCUGAUAAAGGAGCUUUGGGGGGGUUUUCGAUGGGAAGUGAAAAUAACGCGGAUCAAAUUCCAGCUCCAUUUAAGCAGAAAGAAAGCUUACGAAACAAUAGAAGCCAACGUUCAUUCCUAAACUGGAUAGACCAGUUGGGGCAGGUAAAGGCAAACUGCCAGACUUGUCAAAGGACAUGAAGACAGAGCCUGACUCCUUCUCUUAGAUCAUACAACCUUCUGUACAAUGAGACAUCCAGCCGAAUGACGAGGGCCUGCGGCACCAGUUGAUAAUGCUGAUGAUUAACUAAAUAGAGUCUGGCAGAGCAGGUCUGCUGGGCUUUCUCAUUUCAUGGGGCCUGACUCACCGCAAGGGAGUGUUCUCAGGCGGCGGGCUGGAAAUUCAAGACCUUGCUUCUCUUUCCUUUUCAGCCCCCGCCUUCCAGACAUCUUUGGUUUGGUUGCAUUCUUUGAUUGGGGUACCUUUCAAGACGGUAAGAUUACAGGUGCGUUCUCCAUUUUGCUUCCCCCUGACCUUUUCUCCCUCUUUUUCCCUCCCCCUUCUCAACCCUGGGCUCAACUUUUGCCUUGCUUGCAGGGUGAUGAAAAACCUUUCAAUAUAUCAUUAACCCACCUUUUCUGCAAUCAAGGCUGCUUUGGAAAUUUUUGUUCUUCAACAAGAUUUUUUGUUUUGGUAAAAGGAAAGUUAACUCCAUUUCAAUUGUAAUAUAUCAAGAACGUACAUUUGAUUGACUGUAUGGUCAGUAUGGGGGCAAGCGUUUGGCACAGUGCGCUUAUGAAGUAGCCACGUUAUUCAGUAAAAAAGCGCCGUUUCAGUGACCUUCUGCAUACGGGCAGCCGGCUCAGGUCGAGCUGAACAGCAUUCCAUCAGCCUUUCAUCACUUCACUAACACAACAGGACGACAGCAACAGGAUUCCACCGAUGGGGGGGAUAGAAAUCCUUAUAUGUUAUUCCGUCAUUAAAUGCCAGUUUACUGUAACUGAAAGUCGUGAUAGGAAAAAUCCAAUUCACCUGAGAAGGUGAUUGGGCAACAGCGCCCUGUGGCUUGACUUACUUUUAACUGGACUCGUUUUUUGUGUGAAAUUAUUAACUGCCGUGCAUUGUGUGAAAAAACAGCCCUUCCUCCUGUCGUUGCCGUACCAUAGCUUUAGACUAGUCAGAACAGGUUUGGGCAAUCAUUAACAACUUUUGUGGCCCAGUGUUCUGUGACAGCCAGUGUGGGCUGGAGAGCACACCACAAGGCUUCUUAAGCACGCCAAGUGGAUGUCCCAGUCGUAGAACGCAGCUACAGUAUGUCUGCUGAACGAGCAUUUUUCAAGUUUGCCACUCGAGAAGUAGUCUACAUUGUUAUAAUUAGCAGAAGUGCGUCGUGCCUCUGUGCUGCCCUUGCAAAUGCCCAUUUAACAGUUACUUUAGUAAGGGACUACUAAAAAACUUGAUUAAUUGAAGCCCAACUAAAAAUGUUUAUAAUUGCCUAUAUUAAAAGUUUGAAGUGUAAAUAUAAAACAUAAACUAUGAUCCCCAAACCAUUUAAUAUCAUUUCCAAUGCUUACAUUACCCUUAAGAUAAAUGACCGGUAGAUGAUUAUGAAAAAUUAACCCGAAGUACGAGUAUACAUGCACGCGCUGCAAAGACUCUCUUGCUCUGCUAAUAACCCAUGCUAAAUUAAGCUCCUCCCCAAUGAACAAAACUUGCCUCUCAGUCAAGAUGUGUCACUUCAACAUGUAGUUCGUUGGCAUCAAUGUUGGGUUGUUGGCGUACUUUACUAUUAGUCAGUUGUUUGGUUCCCUCUUGUAGCACAAUUUUUUUUUUUUUUAAAAACGCAAAUAGGUGAUUUUUUUGAUUUUUUUUAUGUAAUUGUUAAUAGCGAACUGUAACUUUAAUCUAAUACCGGUAUGGUCACACAUUUGUCCAUCAAUGAGAGGCCUUUAUGAGUGUCUUUGAACAUGGGUGAUUAUCUCCAUCUUACGAGGCAGCAUUGGACUACAUCUCUUUUUCUAAUACUGCCUGGUAAUGAUGAUGAUAGUGAUCUGCCAGCAACAAGCGCACAAAGGAGGAUUAACAGCGGUGAUAGCAUUAGCAGCAGUGUAGUGUUUUACAGGCUGGAGAAGCAGGCUCUGAGGAUCCAUCUUACCAAACAGUGCUGGAUUGUACUACUGUUGUUCUAACACUGUCUGGUAACGAUGUUUUCUGGGGGACCACAAACCUGCAGUCUGUCACAUGAUUGCUUUGUUAAAUCUUCCCUUUAAACCUUCUAAUGACUGUUGACUUCGGUUUGACUCAUCUAAAGCAUGAUGCAAGGGUAAAUUUAGCAGGAAGACGGAAGGAGAUGGAUUGUGCUUGUAGGUUUAUAAAAGGCUGCUCGUCCACUGUGUUAUGCAGGCCAGGCGAUAGAUGUGUGUGAGAGGUAAUGCGACUCUGCCAGUAGCAAAAAUGCAGGAAAUGUAUAAGACCGAUAAGCACAAAUAUGACAACAGCGGCGUGCUACUUUUGUGACGUAACGCAGACACAGGCUCACAUUGAAUACAUGCACAUGGCCUCAUUUUUUUAGGUGGAAGAUAAAUGAUGCUAACACCUAUCAUUUAAAACAUUUUCAAUAUUUGCAUAAAGGGCCAUGUGUGAUAGCCAUAUAGUACAGCAUCAGUUUUACUUCUUCUUUACUUCCCUUUUUAUUGCCCUUUUUUUCCUCUUAGCUUUUAUGUCAACCCCACCCAAACCGGGUAAAAAAAUAGCAGUACGUUGAUUGUUCCGCUGGCCGUGCAAGGUCGUUUUUUUUCUCUCUUUCUGCCUACCUCAAACCUCACCGGCCUUUGUGCUGCGUGGCAGCCAUUGGUCCAACAAGCCUGGGCUGCACUGCGCAUCCAGAAACUGUUGUGUGUGUGUUUAAGGAGGGAGAAUUUCCCUUCAACACUGAGCCACACCUUUAUUUACCCACUCAGCUCCAUUACCCAAGCCACCAGGAACAGCUACCUUGUUGUCACCGAUUUGUGACCGAUGUAGAAAGAAAGGAGGUUUGAUGGUGCUGGUGUAUGAAAAUGCAACAGCGAGAGGAAUGUCAGGCCAUUUCUUCUGCACUGCUGCUUCCUCACAGGUCACCCUUUCAGCCUGUUGAUAGGCGUCUUACCAGACAUGGUUAGAUGUAAUUACUGUUGUCUAAUACUGUCUGGUAAUGCCGUCCAUUAAAUGGCAUUGCCUUCCACUGUCUUCCUUCUGUUCUCUCGCUCAAAUGCAUCUUCACGUGUGCGCCUUAGCAUACUUGACUGCAGAACUAUUAUCCUUGCACUGGAAGAGUGAUGAAUGUCACCGGGAUUCUUCCAUGUGACUUGAGUCAAAGUUUAACUACUCUCAACUGGGAAUGUUUUUAAGACUUUUAAGCAGGAAUAUUACCGUGACGACCGUAUAAGCAUGAAUUUAGUCCAUAGAAAGUUGUGUCCUCUACCCUUCUUAAUUGUAACUGAUUACCUUCCAGGAACUUGGCUUUUCUCCAGGUACAGUAGAUAAAUGCACACUUGGAAAUGCUUUAACCUCAGGCACAACAUGUAAUGUGAAAGAAUAUAUUGAAUAAAUAAAAUAAGAAUUCA